RNAcentral lists this ribosomal RNA (429 nucleotides) under Gemmatimonadota bacterium. Its description in RNAcentral is "Gemmatimonadetes bacterium partial 16S ribosomal RNA". It matches the Rfam family "Bacterial small subunit ribosomal RNA", at positions 355 to 776 of the family's 1533-position model. Lineage: Bacteria; Pseudomonadati; Gemmatimonadota. The record is from RNAcentral.
UAGGGAAUCUUCGGCAAUGGACGAAAGUCUGACCGAGCAACGCCGCGUGAGUGAAGAAGGUUUUCGGAUCGUAAAACUCUGUUGUUAGAGAAGAACAAGGACGUUAGUAACUGAACGUCCCCUGACGGUAUCUAACCAGAAAGCCACGGCUAACUACGUGCCAGCAGCCGCGGUAAUACGUCGGUGGCAAGCGUUGUCCGGAUUUAUUGGGCGUAAAGCGAGCGCAGGCGGUUUCUUAAGUCUGAUGUGAAAGCCCCCGGCUCAACCGGGGAGGGUCAUUGGAAACUGGUAGACUUGAGUGCAGAAGAGGAGAGUAGAAUUCGAUGUGUAGCGGUGAAAUGCGUAGAUAUAUGGAGGAACACCAUUGGCGAAGGCGGCUCUCUGGUCUGUAACUGACGCUGAGGCUCGAAAGCGUGGGGAGCAAACAGG